CUACGGGAGGCACCAGUAGGGAAUAUUGCGCAAUGGACGAAAGUCUGACGCAGCAACGCCGCGUGGGUGAUGAAGCUUCUUGGAGUGUAAAACCCUGUCAGUGGGGAAGAACCGUACCGGGAGUUACUGCCCGGUGCCUGACGGUACCCACAGAGGAAGCACCGGCUAACUCCGUGCCAGCAGCCGCGGUAAUACGGGGGGUGCAAGCGUUGUUCGGAUUCACUGGGCGUAAAGGGCGUGUAGGCGGGCUAUCAAGUCGGAUGUGAAAACUGGCAGCUUAACUGCCAGCCUGCAUUCGAUACUGAUGGUCUUGAGUACAGGAGAGGAAAGCGGAAUUCCAGGUGUAGCGGUGGAAUGCGUAGAUAUCUGGAAGAACACCAGAAGCGAAGGCGGCUUUCUGGCCUGAUACUGACGCUGAAACGCGAAGGCUAGGGGAGCAAACAGGAUUAGAUACCCCAGUAGUC
Molecule: ribosomal RNA, 464 nt
Filed under: uncultured bacterium
Lineage: Bacteria
Description: partial 16S ribosomal RNA
Rfam family: Bacterial small subunit ribosomal RNA
Source: RNAcentral